This 407-nucleotide ribosomal RNA is filed under the name uncultured bacterium. RNAcentral's name for it is "bacterial SSU rRNA". It matches the Rfam family "Bacterial small subunit ribosomal RNA", at positions 355 to 776 of the family's 1533-position model. The record is from RNAcentral.
UGGGGGAUAUUGCACAAUGGAGGAAACUCUGAUGCAGCAAUGCCGCGUGAGGGAAGAAGGCUUUCGGAUUGUAAACCUCUGUCCUAGCUGAAGAAACGAAUGACGGUAGGCUAGGAGGAAGCUCCGGCUAACUACGUGCCAGCAGCCGCGGUAAUACGUAGGGAGCGAGCGUUAUCCGGAAUUACUGGGUGUAAAGGGUGCGUAGGCGGCUAUGCAAGUCAGGCGUGAAAUGUACGGGCUUAACUCGUGAACUGCGUUUGAAACUGUAUAGCUUGAGUAGAGUAGAGGCAGGCGGAAUUUCCAGUGUAGCGGUGAAAUGCGUAGAGAUUGGAAGGAACACCAGUGGCGAAGGCGGUCUGCUGGGCUCAAACUGACGCUGAGGCACGAAAGCAUGGGGAGCAAACAGG